AGCGAACGCUGGCGGCAGGCUUAACACAUGCAAGUCGAGCGGGCCCUUCGGGGUCAGCGGCGGUCGGGUGAGUAACGCGUGGGAACGUGCCUUCUGGUCUGGAAUAACCCUGGGAAACUAGGGCUAAUACCGGAUACGCCCUUUUGGGGAAAGGUUUACUGCCGGAAGAUCGGCCCGCGUCUGAUUAGCUAGUUGGUGGGGUAACGGCCUACCAAGGCGACGAUCAGUAGCUGGUCUGAGAGGAUGAUCAGCCACACUGGGACUGAGACACGGCCCAGACUCCUACGGGAGGCAGCAGUGGGGAAUAUUGGACAAUGGGCGCAAGCCUGAUCCAGCCAUGCCGCGUGAGUGAUGAAGGCCUUAGGGUUGUAAAGCUCUUUUAUCCGGGACGAUAAUGACGGUACCGGAGGAAUAAGCCCCGGCUAACUUCGUG
This 433-nucleotide ribosomal RNA is filed under the name uncultured bacterium. Its description in RNAcentral is "partial 16S ribosomal RNA". It matches the Rfam family "Bacterial small subunit ribosomal RNA", at positions 29 to 507 of the family's 1533-position model. The record is from RNAcentral.